UCUAAAAUAAACAUACUGUACUGUGAUGGUAUGUUGAGGCUUAUGCUUACCCUUGAACAUAUAACAAGUUAUAUGUGAAUUUCCUCUUUUUUUUUUUUUUACAUACUUCAGAAAGGCCUGGCCUGUGCAAACACAGCACAGCAUCAGCCACACCAAAGGAGAUUCCUGUAGGGAACCUGAGAAUGACACACAGGAUACCCCACUGCUCGAGGUCAGAGGGUUAACUGCCCCCUCCCAAAUGCACACUCGUACACAAAGGCUGCAGUUACAAGUAAGCAAGCGUCUGUCUCUAGCAGAUUUAUUAAAAACCUGACACAGCCAUAAUCACUGACGGUAAGCCACGCUAAGCUAAGCUACGUAUUGUCUACAUUUUUACGUUGUCUACAGUCUUUUUCCAUCUGUUCUGUGUGUUUUUUUUUCAGUUCAGUGAAGUUUCAGGACUUUGAGUGAGAUGGGCAGCACUGCGGGGGAUGUGGAGCUGAGAUCGAUUCCUCCAUGGGAGACCCCCAGGGGGCGCUGUCUGUGGAAAACAUGAAUAGUGUCGAUGACGUGAAACAUCUAGAAGCGCUGUCCAUCAGCGGUGUAUGAAGCGCUGCAAGCCGACCCUCCCGCAGGACAGCAUUGACGAGCCCCCUCCGCAUACGUGACAACUUCUGACUGGAGAGCUACAGUGGAUGUGGCACCGAAGAACAAGUGCAUUUCUUCCUCACUCAGAUAAGAGACGUAUGCGUGGGGGGAUGACAACCGAAAUGGAAAAGGAACUUCGGUCUGCAGAGCUAGUCAGUUUAAAGACAUUUGUAGAAAAAACAUUUGAGAUUGAAGGCUCUGGUUUUCGCUUUCGCCGUCACUGAAACUUUCUCGAAUUCUCAAAAAAUUCCCCCCCAGAAAUGUAGCAUCCUUGAAUACAGAUGCGGUCACAUAAUGUCUCUGACCCAGUUGUGUGGAAUAUUUCUUAAUACUAAAACCAAAGCACCGUU
Anguilla anguilla (European eel) is the source of this 977-nucleotide long non-coding RNA. RefSeq lists it as uncharacterized. The transcript has 2 exons. The record is from RefSeq and is a predicted model, not a curated record. Lineage: Eukaryota; Metazoa; Chordata; Actinopteri; Anguilliformes; Anguillidae.